CUAUAUUUCAGGGAUGGCAGACUCUGGUUGGGGCAGUGUCCUUAAGACUUCUCAGUCUGAAAAUAGAUAUUGGGACAGCAGAUUUGAACAGAACUUUGAGAAGGUCUCCUUCCCGGUGAGUAUAGUUGGAUGUUAUCAGGUUUACAGUGGUUUUCACAUGCUUGUUACUAAAGAGUUUUUUAAACAGUAGUACUUGGUAUUUUCUUGAAAAAAUAAGGUUUACAGAAAUGUAUUUUUUUUAGAUGUAUGUAGUCUAGGAUUUUUGGGAAUUUGAUCAUUUAAAACAUUUAAUCUUUAAAUUUGAUGGGUUGAAAUUCACCAUGAUAAAUUUGAAUGCUAGUAUUCAAAUUCAAGGCACACAGUGUGUGUAGACUUUAAUAAAGACCAGUUGAUUUUCCUCGUAGUUUUAGCAGUUUUCCCUUGAGUGCCAAGGUGUACCACAUCCAAAACCAUUGACCCAGGUACAAACUACUGGUACAAAGCAUUUUUCAAUUUUCUAAAUUUCUAAUUCCUACCAACCAGGUGAAAUUUGCUUCACGCUGAGAGUGCUUCAAUUUUAACUAAAUCUAAGAAUUCAAAAACAAGUUUAAGGAGGUAAAUGUUAAGAAUAAUUUUGGAUAUUUUGUAGGUUUUUGAAUUGGUGAAAAAAUUUGAUUUUUGCAACACAAAUUUCUAGCACCUGUUGUGUGACUUCAGUAUAGUAACUGUUGUCUCUAAAUGGUGGUAUUGGGCAAAUUUCCUUGAAGUAGAUAUUUUUCAGUGUUUUAUAUAAUGCGUAAGUUUCUUACAGGAACUUCUUUUCAGUAUGCAAAAGGAUUAAUUUCAAAUUGGUUAUACAGCACUGACAACAAUCUUAUUUAUUUUUUAUCAUAAGUGGUGGUCA
Molecule: long non-coding RNA, 883 nt
Organism: Lingula anatina
Lineage: Eukaryota; Metazoa; Brachiopoda; Lingulata; Lingulida; Lingulidae
Source: RefSeq, a predicted model, not a curated record